This 26-nucleotide non-coding RNA is filed under the name Mus musculus (house mouse). Lineage: Eukaryota; Metazoa; Chordata; Mammalia; Rodentia; Muridae. The record is from RNAcentral.
UGCUUGCUUCCAGACAUGGGAUGCAG